Cavia porcellus (domestic guinea pig) is the source of this 4436-nucleotide long non-coding RNA. RefSeq lists it as uncharacterized. The record is from RefSeq and is a predicted model, not a curated record. NCBI's taxonomy places the organism in Eukaryota, Metazoa, Chordata, Mammalia, Rodentia, Caviidae. The transcript has 4 exons.
GUCAGACCCGUACCUCCUUUUGCACUCUGCCAGCAUUUGCAGGUGCCAAGACCCACAGGGCCACAGCAAGGAGGCAAGAAAGGUGGGCCCAGGGGUGGAGGAGCCACAGUGUGGGUGGCUCAAGGGGCAGCUGUGGGGAGGUGGUAGGAUUGGCAGGAAGAGGAGAGAUGGGUAGGACCCAGCUUGGCCCAACUACCAAAGCUGCAUCUUGGAAACACUUGUAGAUUUCCAGGAAAUUGGAAAAGGCCUUGGAGAUAUUUUCAAACAUCAAUGGCUGGCAAUCAGCGCUUCAGAUCAGCGGGAGAGAUCUCGAGUUGUCACACUGAGAUGCUGUGCUUCCAGCCCACAGCAAAGCCGUCUGCCAUUGGAGUCAUCAGCCGCUAAACCUGAUCACAGGUUGAGCUAUGAUGAGUGUUUUUAAUGUGUAACCACAUGGGGUGAUGAAAAGAGAAAAGAGAGUUAAAAUUCACCCUGCAACUUACCUUGAGUAAGGAAUGAAGCCUUUAAAGACUUUGUUUGGAAAGAGGAGCAGGAGAAAUAGCCAGGCCAGAGGAGCAGGGGCUAUAAAGCCGAAGCAGGCAGCACACAAAAGGCUCAGCUACAAAGGAUUCUCCAUCCCUUGGACCCACGAAGAGGAAGGGUCUGAAGCAGGGCAUAAUAGAAGAUGCAGCUGGCACCUGGUCUCUUUCCUCUCCAAGCCUGUUGGGACAUCUCACUCUCUGCUGGGGUGACUCUAUUCUCCAUCCACAUCUGAGCAUCUGAAUGCUGGUAGACAUGACCUACUGGGUAGAGGACUACUAGGCAGAGGCCUAACCCUAAUCUUAACUCACUCCCUCUUAGAGAACCUCAUGGACAAGAUGACUCUCACACCCAAUUCCCACCCCUGCACCUCUCUCACUGAAGCUCCAAUUGGGUGCAGAAAAAAAAAAAAUACUUCAGAUUCCAUUUGAGUAAGACCUGAUGCCUCUCCUCCUGAGCUGUCCUGCUACUCCUCAGCUCUGCUCUUGAUGCCACCCUACCUUACCCCCCCCCCAGUCAAGCGUUUCCUAGUCUUUAAGCAGAAACUCAUCAUCCACUUGAUUCUGAGCAGCUAUGGUGCUGAAUGUGGAAGCACAGACUUUUACACUAAAGCUUGGAGGGAGUUCAUACAAAGAUCACUAACAGUGGCUGUUUUUAUUCUGUCUAUAAAUCAGAUACGAGUGCCUAAGGACAGACACUGGCCUGGGAUAGAGUGAGAAAAGUGUGUAGUUUAGAGGUAGACACAUGCAGAUGUUAAAUAAUCAUAAAGAGGCCUGUGGAUACACAUGCUAUGAAAGAAGAGUGGAGAGAGACCACAAGCAAAUAACAGAACUCUUGAACUGGACCAGGGUCAAGAAAUCUUCAAAGACACCAUGAAGGAAUAGACCUGCAUGUUCCUUUCUCUUAAUACCACUGCGUGCAGUGUCUGCCACCAUCAUGUCUGUGUUUAAGGAGUGCUUCCUGUCACAUCUCCAUGACCAGCCAUCCUUCCGGCCACAGCCACCCCGUCACCAUAGCCAGCCUCAAGCCUUCUCUUACCCAAACAGGGGUCAUGCCCCUAAGUGGCUUGGGCAUUCUUCUUCCCAAGAGCCAACAGGAAAACUGUCACCUUGAGACAAGCAAAGAGUUCCCCUGCCUCCUAUUCCAAGGCUUCCAGGCCUCUCCCUCUCAAUGCUCACAACCAGCUAACACUUCUCUGGAGGAAGCCAGGUGAUAUGUCAGUUCUUCAGACCUCCCUACACUGGCUGCUGGUGACUUACCCAUGGCCAUUCCAGGAUUACCUUGUUCCAGAGAAUACAGUAGCUACUGUUCCUAUUUGCAAAAGCAAGCUUGUUUAUGCUAGCGAAGUGAAGUGCUUGAAAUGUUCACAUUUACUAUAGCCUUGGAUCAGGUGGAUCUUGAUGGCAAGAGGUCAUGUCCUAUGAAGGCAUCCGUUUCCCACACACCCAGUGUCUUGGUUACUUUUCUGUUGUUGCUGGGACAAAAUACCCACCACCCAAAAGGAAGGAAGGAAAGGUUUAUUUAGCUCACUGUUUGUGGAAGUGUCAGUUCAUAAUUAGCUGGCUCCAAGGCAGUGUGGCGUGGCACUGGAGCAACACUUCAAGGUAGCAGCCAGAAAAAUCAGCCAGAGCAAAAGGGGGAGCAAACAAACCUCUACUCCUUCCUUAUAUUGUACACAGGCCACCCCUCUCCAGGAUUGGUGUAGCACUCACCAAAUCUCUGUGCCCUCCUUUUGCACUGGAUGAGGAUAUUUGCAAAGUAAGAACCCUAAACUUCUAAAGUUGACACAAUAUGUUAACGAUAACACCCAGUCACACCUGGUGGCAUCUGCAGUAUCUUUCCCCAUCAACUGCUGAAUGCACAUCUCCCCAUCUGGUGCACCAUGGGGUCACAGGAUAAACAGAAGGCCUGGCUUCUUUCUCUGCAGCCAGAUAGAGGCUGCCAGAGCUCCACCCAUAUAAUCAUACAUCCCCAGGCAGCUUGGAGCACUAGACACAUAGUAUUAUGGGUCAGGAGCUGAAGGGCCACAUCCAGGCAGCUUUAAUUCACUGUGUGAUCUUAAAAGUAACCUUUAAAUUCUCUCCAAGUUUCAGUUCUCUGUAUAAAAGGUGCUGGGACUGAGUGAAUGGCCUUUUCCAUAGGCUCAAAUGUGCCCUGGAGAUAGAGGGAAAGCCAAGGUACAGGGAUUUCAGCCAAGGUAGCAUCAGUUGUAUCUGCUUUGUAUACAGAGCUUCUGCAGAAAGUUUUCACUCAGAAAAAGAAGCUCAUCACUGAAAGCAAGCUGGGAAGUGACUAUAGUGAUGGUCCUAAGGCCCCCUCCAGACCUAACAUUUCAUGAUUUACUGGUAAAUACAAUAAUGUGGUUGAAAGAGGCUUGGAACGUGGAGACCACAGCAGGACAUGACAAGUAGACUGUUUCAUCUGCUCUGCACUUUCCACACCAUGAGAGCCCGAGGCAGGUGCUCGACUGAAAUCUGCACCAUCUUCUAACCUUUGAGCUAAGGAACCACUUGAGAGGCCUCUGUGGGAAGUAAGUGGAAGGAGGCAGAAGAAAGGAGAGAGAGAGAGAGAGAGAGAGAGAGAGAGAGAGAGAGAGAGAGAGAGAGAGAGAGAACACAGGGAGGGAGGCAGACAAACCAGAGUUGGGCCUGGGACCCUCCUGCACCCCACUGCAGGCAGAGGGUUAUGGCCGCCACCUCUAGCUUCCAACUGCAUUAUUUAGGCCUCAUGCUCUGGUUGCCAUGGAGAUGGGAAAGCGUGGGCCCAGGGCCCUGGUCUCUCCACCAGAGGCAGCAGCAUGUGCUCCUGUUGAUCUCAGUCCUUGGAGGCGGCCAUGGAGAUGGGAGCCUAUGAACUCAUCUUGCUCUGUGUCCCCUGCCUCAUCGUCCUCUGCUCACCUCCAGACUUAUCUUGGAAGCCAAAGGCCAGUCCCUUCUGCUCAGAGGGUGGGCUCUGGGCACAGGCUCACGUGCGGAUGGAGCGUUCAAGGGGAAAUCAGGCUCCUGCAGAAUAGACAGCUUGUGGAGGGCUGUGUGCGGAGGUGGGUGCCACCCUGUGAGCAGCAGAUGACAGGGGCAGAGUGAAGAGGUGGGUCUGACGGGCCCUGCAGACAUGGAUCACAGAGUAGGGACGGUGAGCGGGUGCACAUCCAGGCAGGAGGCUGCUGGGGCCAUCUGAGUGAGAGAUGAGGGCUCGGUGAACAACAAGGAAAUGCUGGGGGCAGUGAGCCAAAAGGAAAAACCUGGAGCUCCAGGGACGCAGAAUACGCAUUCACUCCUUGUAUCUACAGCCUCAAAGCCUCAGAAGGUUUGGGACCACAACAUAAAUUCUAUGCAUGAAGCCCUCCUAGAGAUCCCGAGGAAUAUAGCAAAGUCAGGCCCCUGGAGGUCCCACCGAGCUUCAUGUGUUCACAUAGGUCUGGCUGUGAUGGACUUAUUUUAACUCGGCUUCACCACACUUUAUAUUUUGACCAUGGAACCCCCUUCUACCACCCGCUCACCCCUCCAGAACACUGGGAUUUGCCAAGUCCAUCUCUCACAGAAGGCAAGGCAGGAGGGGACAGAAGAGGCCGAGCUGUGCCUCAAAUAAUCAUAUCUGACUCAGGAGUCCCAACCCUGGGGAGCAGCUAUGUGCUUGAAGGAGUCACUUGAUUUAAAAUACCUGAAGUGGGCCUGGGAUUUAGCUCAGUGGGGUAAGCGCCUGCCUGGCAAGUGCAAGGUUGUGAGUUCGAUCCCUGGUGGUACCAAAUAAAAGAAAGAAAGAAAGAAAGAAAGAGAACCUGAAAUGUCAAUGACAGGGAUUGGCUUAGUAAACUGUGGUCAGAUUCUUUGACCUUUCUGUGAGAUGAUUACAAAUAUUACAUUGGAAGUCAUUUCAUAUGAAAUACAUCCUAAGAACUAUUUUGAAAAAUAUAUAGA